GGGCGGAUAGCUCAGCCGGUCAGAGCGCUUCUCUUACACAGAAGAGGUCGCAGGUUCGAUCCCUGUUCCGCCCA
RNAcentral lists this transfer RNA (74 nucleotides) under Thermoflexales bacterium. Its description in RNAcentral is "tRNA-Val". It matches the Rfam family "tRNA". Rfam says of the family: Transfer RNA (tRNA) molecules are approximately 80 nucleotides in length. Their secondary structure includes four short double-helical elements and three loops (D, anti-codon, and T loops). Further hydrogen bonds mediate the characteristic L-shaped molecular structure. tRNAs have two regions of fundamental functional importance: the anti-codon, which is responsible for specific mRNA codon recognition, and the 3' end, to which the tRNAs corresponding amino acid is attached (by aminoacyl-tRNA synthetases). tRNAs cope with the degeneracy of the genetic code in two manners: having more than one tRNA (with a specific anti-codon) for a particular amino acid; and 'wobble' base-pairing, i.e. permitting non-standard base-pairing at the 3rd anti-codon position. The record is from RNAcentral. Lineage: Bacteria; Bacillati; Chloroflexota; Thermoflexia; Thermoflexales.